This 544-nucleotide ribosomal RNA is filed under the name Bifidobacterium bifidum. Its description in RNAcentral is "bacterial SSU rRNA". It matches the Rfam family "Bacterial small subunit ribosomal RNA", at positions 146 to 702 of the family's 1533-position model. The record is from RNAcentral. Lineage: Bacteria; Bacillati; Actinomycetota; Actinomycetes; Bifidobacteriales; Bifidobacteriaceae.
UCUCCUGGAAACGGGUGGUAAUGCCGGAUGUUCCACAUGAUCGCAUGUGAUUGUGGGAAAGAUUCUAUCGGCGUGGGAUGGGGUCGCGUCCUAUCAGCUUGUUGGUGAGGUAACGGCUCACCAAGGCUUCGACGGGUAGCCGGCCUGAGAGGGCGACCGGCCACAUUGGGACUGAGAUACGGCCCAGACUCCUACGGGAGGCAGCAGUGGGGAAUAUUGCACAAUGGGCGCAAGCCUGAUGCAGCGACGCCGCGUGAGGGAUGGAGGCCUUCGGGUUGUAAACCUCUUUUGUUUGGGAGCAAGCCUUCGGGUGAGUGUACCUUUCGAAUAAGCGCCGGCUAACUACGUGCCAGCAGCCGCGGUAAUACGUAGGGCGCAAGCGUUAUCCGGAUUUAUUGGGCGUAAAGGGCUCGUAGGCGGCUCGUCGCGUCCGGUGUGAAAGUCCAUCGCUUAACGGUGGAUCUGCGCCGGGUACGGGCGGGCUGGAGUGCGGUAGGGGAGACUGGAAUUCCCGGUGUAACGGUGGAAUGUGUACAUAUCGGGA